RNAcentral lists this ribosomal RNA (964 nucleotides) under Agaricus lanosus. RNAcentral's name for it is "Agaricus sp. RN-2023b partial large subunit ribosomal RNA". It matches the Rfam family "Eukaryotic large subunit ribosomal RNA", at positions 24 to 980 of the family's 3401-position model. Lineage: Eukaryota; Fungi; Basidiomycota; Agaricomycetes; Agaricales; Agaricaceae. The record is from RNAcentral.
UUUCCCCCGGUUUUCUACAUACAAUAGCGGAGGAAAAGAAACUACAAGGAUUCCCCUAGUAACUGCGAGUGAAGCGGGAAAAGCUCAAAUUUAAAAUCUGGCGGUCUUUGGCCGUCCGAGUUGUAAUCUAGAGAAGUAAUGCCCGUGCUGGACCGUGUAUAAGUCUCCUGGGAUGGGGCGUCAUAGAGGGUGAGAAUCCCGUCUUUGACACGGACUACCAGUGCAUUGUGGUAUGCUCUCAAAGAGUCGAGUUGUUUGGGAAUGCAGCUCAAAAUGGGUGGUAAAUUCCAUCUAAAGCUAAAUAUUGGCGAGAGACCGAUAGCGAACAAGUACCGUGAGGGAAAGAUGAAAAGAACUUUGGAAAGAGAGUUAAACAGUACGUGAAAUUGCUGAAAGGGAAACGCUUGAAGUCAGUCGCGUUGGCCAGGGAUCAGCCUUGCUCUUGCAUGGUGUACUUUCUGGUUGACGGGUCAGCAUCAAUUUUGACCACUGGAAAAGGGCCUGGGGAAUGUGGCAGCUUCGGCUGUGUUAUAGCCCCUGGUCGCAUACAGUGGUUGGGAUUGAGGAACUCAGCACGCCGCAAGGCCGGGUUUCGACCACGUUCGUGCUUAGGAUGCUGGCAUAAUGGCUUUAAGCGACCCGUCUUGAAACACGGACCAAGGAGUCUAACAUGCCUGCGAGUAUUUGGGUGGAAAACCCGAGUGCGUAAUGAAAGUGAAAGUUGAGAUCCCUGUCGUGGGGAGCAUCGACGCCCGGACCAGAACUUUUGGGACGGAUCCGCGGUGGAGCAUGUAUGUUGGGACCCGAAAGAUGGUGAACUAUGCCUGAAUAGGGUGAAGCCAGAGGAAACUCUGGUGGAGGCUCGUAGCGAUUCUGACGUGCAAAUCGAUCGUCAAAUUUGGGUAUAGGGGCGAAGACUAUCGAACAUCUAGUAGCUGGUCUGCAGAUUUCCCCUCCUAGAGAA